This 390-nucleotide unclassified non-coding RNA is filed under the name soil metagenome. RNAcentral describes it as "partial contains 5.8S ribosomal RNA, internal transcribed spacer 2, and large subunit ribosomal RNA". The stretch from base 1 to 122 matches the Rfam family "5.8S ribosomal RNA", at positions 35 to 154 of the family's 154-position model. The record is from RNAcentral.
GAUGAAGAACGUAGCGAAAUGCGAUACUUGGUGUGAAUUGCAGAAUCCCGUGAACCAUCGAGUCUUUGAACGCAAGUUGCGCCCGAAGCCACUAGGCCGAGGGCACGCCUGCCUGGGCGUCACACGUCGUUCCCCCCCCAUCUACUCCUUCGGGAUUGCAGGGGGCGGAUGAUGGCCUCCCGUGCGCCUCGCCGCGCGGUUGGCAUAAAUACCAAGUCCUCGGCGACGCACGCCACGACAAUCGGUGGUUGCGAAACCUCGGUUGCCCGUCGUGUGCGUUCGUCGCGCAUCGAGGGCUCGAAAAAAUGCUCGGCUCCGGCUCGGCUUUCAACGCGACCCCAGGUCAGGCGGGGUUACCCGCUGAAUUUAAGCAUAUCAAUAAGCGGAGGA